AUACGGAGGGAGCAAGCGUUAUUCGGAAUCACUGGGCGUAAAGGACGCGUAGGCGGGUUUGUAAGUCAGGUGUGAAAUCCUACAGCUCAACUGUAGAACUGCACUUGAAACUACAGACCUAGAGUAUGGAAGGGGCAGAUGGAAUUAGUGGUGUAGGGGUAAAAUCCGUAGAUAUCACUAGGAAUACCGAAAGCGAAGGCGAUCUGCUGGUACAUUACUGACGCUGAGGCGUGAAAGCGUGGGGAGCAAACAGGAUUAGAAACCCCAGUAGUCC
Molecule: ribosomal RNA, 274 nt
Filed under: uncultured bacterium
Lineage: Bacteria
Description: partial 16S ribosomal RNA
Rfam family: Bacterial small subunit ribosomal RNA
Source: RNAcentral